RNAcentral lists this ribosomal RNA (253 nucleotides) under uncultured bacterium. Its description in RNAcentral is "partial 16S ribosomal RNA". It matches the Rfam family "Bacterial small subunit ribosomal RNA", at positions 524 to 776 of the family's 1533-position model. The record is from RNAcentral.
UACGUAGGGGCCUAGCGUUGUCCGGAUUUAUUGGGCGUAAAGAGCUCGUAGGCGGUUUGUCGCGUCUGCUGUGAAAACUCGGGGCUUAACUCCGGGCCUGCAGUGGGUACGGGCAGACUAGAGUGCGGUAGGGGAGACUGGAAUUCCUGGUGUAGCGGUGAAAUGCGCAGAUAUCAGGAGGAACACCGGUGGCGAAGGCGGGUCUCUGGGCCGUAACUGACGCUGAGGAGCGAAAGUGUGGGGAGCGAACAGG